CUAAUGUUUUUGCGGAUAUACUACCCCUAUAAAAGCACGAGAGGGCGGAGAACCAAAUCAUCACAACCAUCGAACCGUAUUAAUCUGAUGGUCCAAAUCGUCUCAUAACAUCAAAUGUGUUUGACACCCUAAUUACCCAUCACUACUAUUGGUUAUAACCACGUUAAAAAAAGCCCUCGUCUAGGGAGAUCAAACGAUCCCCUCCCCACCGUCACGCCUGCCCACGAUCUCCCGUUCCUCUCCUCAAACAACGAGGUAGUUUCGUCCCCCACCCCCACCGGCCCCUUCCCACACCGCCACCCCUCUCUUCCGCUUGCACGCUCUUGCCCCGCCCGCACCUCCCACAAGGUUUCAUGGCCGCCGCCUGGCCCGCCUAUGGAAACUGGUACCAUCACGCGGCCAAAUCUUUGACGCCACCAUAUGCACAGUCAAGGGGGAGGAAGCAGGUCAACACGACUAAAUUCAUUGCCGCGGGAGCUGCCAAGGGCGUCGGAUCAUCGUCUUCGGCGCCAGGGGCCAGUGACGGUCACGCACGACGACGUCUCUGCGAUGGCGGAUGACGGUCAAGCCAGCGGGAUGGGAUCGGAGACGACGAGCAGCAGAAACGGUCUUGCUCUGGUAAGAUCAACAAUCCAUGCUUCCAGUUCUUGGUUACGUUUCUUAAUUCAUCUGAUUUGUCAGCGCCAUGUUGUUGAUCGCUAACGGCGCUCGCCUCGCAGCCCCGCCCCAUCGCGACGCAGGUAUUAAUAUCCUGAAGCGUAUCUUCGCCGCGUGCGCAUCAAAUUCAGUCGGGCGUCGGCGCGCACCGGCCGUAGGCGAUCAACACCAAACUCCACCUGCUCGAGGGAGGACGCAGCCCCGCCCCAAGCACUUCAUUCGGAGGAAACGGCAGCCAUGGUCGACGCCAGAGCAACAUCCUCCUCCAGAGGUUCCUCUCGUUCAUCUACGGACCAUGGCUCCCCGGCUUCGGAUUGGGUAAGGGAUGUAAGGGCGGAGGACGCUUGUCAACCCAAGCGCAUGCACGGUGUCGAGAUCUUCAGGACCAGGGACGCGAGCCGCGCCCGCGCUCAGCCGCCUUGGAGCCUCGUGCGGCGCAUCAUCGUUAUCAGCUGAGGCGCCUGGACAUCCCAACGGCAGCGGGAGGAUCUACGACCUCCUCGUCCUUCUUGGCGCUUCUCUGGUGCUCAACGUAUUGUCAUGCAUGAUGUUUUACAUCAUUGGCAGAAAAGCGAGUCUGGUCCGUCCGGAGAGAAGCAGGACAGGGUGAGCAUUUUUCAGGUCUGUACGUUUACAUGGGUUCUGAUCUGAUGGUUCCAGCCCUGUUACAACAUAUCAUUCUUAUGUUCUGUUGUGCCACGGUGAUUUGUGUGUAACUGAAAUUCAGAAUGAACUCAAGUUGGCAAUGUGCCAGUGCCUGCGAUAUUCUCAGGUUGCACGUUCUCGAAUGCUGAAUGUUUAGUCUUUUCAGACUCCAGAUUGCCUCCAGUUGAACGAAGUCGAGCUGUCGCCCGUCACCUCGCUCUCGUUCUUCUCCCCUUUCGACUGGCGGUAAUUUACCGAUGCUUCCUGGCUUCAAUUAUCAGUUUAAAUAUGCAAAUAUUCACCUCCUUUCGCAAUUCUAGUCAGUUUAAAUAUGACUGCUGAAGAUCCAUUUAUACUUCUACAUGGUUUUAUAAUAUGGAUAAAAUCACUAUCACAGUAAUUCUGUAGCUUGUGUUUGGCACUUGGAAACAACAUAAUAGAAAUUUGGUUGCUCAGGUAAGGUAAGGAAAAAAAAUAUUGCCCCAUUGUUUUUCUGUUUGUCUGCUUGUGAGCAUAAUCUAUUUUAAGCCCAU
Molecule: long non-coding RNA, 1835 nt
Filed under: Triticum aestivum (bread wheat)
Lineage: Eukaryota; Viridiplantae; Streptophyta; Magnoliopsida; Poales; Poaceae
Description: long non-coding RNA (TAES_LNC007565)
Source: RNAcentral